This 6386-nucleotide long non-coding RNA is filed under the name Ananas comosus (pineapple). RNAcentral's name for it is "long non-coding RNA (ACOM_LNC002963)". The record is from RNAcentral. Lineage: Eukaryota; Viridiplantae; Streptophyta; Magnoliopsida; Poales; Bromeliaceae.
UUAAAUUAAAAGUCUAUCAAAUUUACCAAAUAUAGUAUAAAUUGCCACGAUUAACAGUUAAACCUUUAGGAUAGUAGCUUUUGUUUAGUAUCAUUGGGUUCAACAUGAUGGCUAUCAUAAUAUUGUUUUGAGAAAUAUAUAUAUAUGGGAGAGUUGGAUUCACAAAAAAAUUUUUUUAAAAUCGUUAACUCACAAAAAAAGGUUGUUUUAAUUUUUAAAAUAGUUUAAGUACGCUCCCUAGAGUUAAUUUUUUGAAAAUUGAUUCAUUUCAGUUUUAUUUUUUUUGACUAUCAAGUUCCAGAGAAAAUCACAAUUUUUUAUUUUGAAUUUCCCAAGAUCAAGUUUUACUAAAUGUUCACUCCCCAAAGAAAUAAAAAAUGGGUGAUUAUUAAUCAUGAUCUCUAUAAUNAUAUAUAUAUAUAUAUAUAUAUAUAUAUAUAUAUAUAUAUUGAGAGAGAGAGAGAGAGAACUAGGCUGGAAUACUAUUAAUAGCAUAAAUGACAUGGUGCUAUUAAGUUUUCCGCCCUUGGAUUAAAAAAUGUACGGUUAUGAUGAUGUGGGCCCCCAAGGGUUGAGUUGGUGGUUGGUUGAAUAGUUAUAAUCUAAUGGGUAAAAAUAAUCAAAGGGAUUAAUCUAACGGCAAAAAAUUUGAUAACAGCAACUACUUCCAAGUUGGUAUGCUUAUGGAAGCACGGAGCCCUCCGUGCUUAUGGAAGUAUGGAGCCCUCCGUUAGAGUUGAUCUAGAGUAUUUGAAGUACCUAGAAAAUAAAUUUUGCGAUUUUUCGAUAUCAUUUGCCUAGUGAUCGAAGGGGCUCAAAAUCAAUAAUUUUAACGGCCCUGGUGAGCCGAUUGCAAGUUUAACGGUGUAGAAAUAUUCAAAUCACAUGAAAUUUUGAUAGAAAAUUCUUUAUACCAUAUAAAACAAGAUCAAUAACUUUGAUCUAAAAUUUUAGUGUCAUAUCAUUAUAUUUUCAGCCGUUGAUUUUGAGCCACUUCGAUCACUAGGCAAACGAUAUCGAAAAAUCGCAAAAUUUAUUUUCUAGAUACUUCAAAUACUCUAGAUCAGGUCUAACGGAGCCGAUCGUCGAUUCGAAAGUCCGAACAUCAAAAACAAAGUGGAAGCACGGAGCCCUUCGUGCUUCCAUAAGCGUCCUAGCCGCACUCUAUAUAUAUAUAUAUAUAUAUAGAGUCCGUCUACUGUACUUUCGAAAGUACCGGGACCUCCGUACUUGUAAGUUAUUUUCGAUAAUAGGACAUCCGAUUCGAUGAUCGGCUCCGUUAGGUAUAAUCUACCCUAUUGGAACUAUCUGGAAACCAAAUUUUAUAAUUUUUUGACAUCAUUUACUAAGCGAUCAAAAGGUCCCAAAAAUGACUAUUUUAACGGCCGAUGCGGCACGUUUUUAAGUUCAACAGUGUAGAAAUAUCCAAAUUACAUGAAAAUUUAAAAGAAAAUUCUACUUAACGUCAAUAGCAAGAUCAAUACUUCCGAUUUGAAAUUUGAGUCAUUUAUCAUUGUUCUUUAUGAGAUUUUUAUUUUCAGCCGUUUAUUUUAAAGCUACUCAUUCACUAGAUAAACGAAGUCAAAAAUUAUAAAAUUUGGUUUCUAGAUAGUUCCAAUAGCGUAAAUCAUGUCUAACAGAAUCGAUCGCCGAAUCGAAUGUCCCAUCAUCGAAAACAACUUACAAGUAGGGAGGCCCCCGUACUUUCAAAAGCAUAGGAGUCUGGCUCUCUCUCUCUCUCUCUCUCUCUCUCUCUAUAUAUAUAUAUAUAUAUAUAGCACUUAAAUAUAAGUAGUAACUCCCAAGUAUAUUGAAGAGAGAUUAAAUACCUCCUGUCUCCUUAAAACUUGGGUUCUGUUUGGUCUUUAUGGUCCCAAUUAUUUUCAUUGCAGAAUCUUUAUCAAAGGAGAUGCAAAAAUGGUGAAAAGGGACACAUUUUUAGUCUUAGUUUAAGUUAUAUUAUGCAUGAGAAAUUUCAAAUUAGGCUAUUAUAUUAUUAAUAGUACCAAGCGCGUAUUAUUAGAAUUUCAGUACUUGGAUAAAAAAAUGUGCAGUUAGGAUGAUAAUGAUCCUCAGUUAGUAUUAUAGCGAUUCCUUUAGAGUUGAGUGGUGGUUGGUUGAAUAAAAUGAGUUAACAGAUAAAAAUAAUCGAUGAGAUAGAUUUAACAGCAGAAAACUCGAUAUCACCAACCAUUUAAUACUAUCGAUAAUGCAGUAGCCAGACUCGAAAAAUAUAUUUAUUUUAUACCGAUAGAAAGGUAAGAAAAAGGCAAAUAGUGUCCUGGUAUAAGGAGCUUCCAUAAAAUUAAUCUAACACAUCUUACUCUGCCGCUGCAAGAGUAGAAGUUUCCGAUUAGAGACCGUCUCUGAAAGCCAAAAAAGCUCAUCACUUGUUGCUGUGACAACAAUUUGGAGAUUUAUUUUUUUUGCUUCUAUUUUGGUUGUUUGAGUUUCAAUUUACAUUGUAUUUAUGACCACAAACAAAAUAAAAAAUUCUGUUUGGUUUAUUAUAAUUGUAUCUAGAUGGAGGGUGUAAGAUCAUGGCCCCCUUUUAGGGUGUAAAAGCAGGAUUUCCCAAUAAUAAAAUCCACAAAUGAAAUUUCCCAAUAAUAGUGUUUUCUUUUUUUGCUAUCAGCCAUUAAUAAUUAUCAAAAUGCACAACUAUAUAGUCAUUAAAUUUAAUAAAACCACUAUUAGUUUCACCAAAUCCAGUUACAAGAAUAAAACACUUGGGGGCUAUAAAUCAAAAAGAGAAUACUUGAGGGACCUAUUUCAUAAUGGCUUACAGUAGAGCAGUUGCUGGUAAAUUUCUACCAACAGUUUCAUUGGAAGAAGAAACAUUACCUGAUAACCUCCAAACCACACAAUUAAGAACUCUGUUUUUUACUUCAUGCAAGAAAUAUACCAAUUCAUUUUAAAAUCGUUUGGUUCGGAUAUAAGUAAAAACUAGCUAUUACGGAGAUAGAUACAAGUACGGGAAUAAGAAAAAUAGCAUUUGGAUAAAAAUUAAGUUGUUCCUGGAGAUAAGAAAAAUAACGUUUGAAUACAUAAUAUGAAAUAAGAAAAAUAAUGGAUAGUUAUAUAUAGAAAAUGAAGGUUGGUUGGGAUAGUUAUACCAACUUAUUUUAGAUACUCGAGAACUACUAUUCUCGGAUAAAAAAUUAGCGUUUGGAUAUAAAGGAGGUCCCAAUCCAAACGGGUUAACCACCAGAGAUAAUACCAAGCAAAUUAGUCACUCUGAGAUUUUUAUGUGAAAAUAUCCAAGCACAUUGUAUAAACAACACCAUCUUUAAUUUCGCAUGCCACUCUAGUAGAGCUGUUUCAAGAAGCACUAAUAUUUAAAUAUUUUUUAUUAAAGUUUAGCAGUUGGUUUCUAGUUCUGGAACUAGAGAUCUAAUCUAAAUACACAAGAUUCCACUAGAAGAAGCAACCACCAAAGUUAGAGGACUUUUCUAUAUCCUAAACAUUACAAGAUAACUCAAAGCACUUGCAUAAUAAUAAUAAGCCAUUAAAAGGAAAUGAAUCAACUAAAACAACAUCCUAUUGUGCUGUUUAACCUUUUGAUCUUAUUCAGGUCUAUCCAAGAACAAAUUAGUCAGUAGUUUUGCAUAUUUAUAUAUAUAUAUAUAUAUAAAAAGGCCCCCCCUUGCCCAAAAAUUCAAUACCACAAAUUACACCAAGAACACAAUUCAAAACCCCAAUAGAGAGUGAGAGAACAAGGAAGAUGAUGAUUUGGAUGGGAAAUUCACCAAAUUGCGAAUUAGGUACUAACUAACUAACUAGCUCUUCAAAGCGUAAACCAAGAGAGAGAACCCCUCACCUCGCUGCAUCUCCACCUCCUCGGCGCUGGCCCAAUCCAUGACCGUCGAUCCGCUGAUCGUCGACGCGGUCGACGAUGCCGUCGACGACGAGGAGCUCGUCUUCAACAAGCUCUUCUUCUUCCUCCUGCUUCUCCUCCUCUCGCCGCCGCAGCUACUGCUCUCGCUCCAAUUCCGCCUACUAAGCUUCCCCAGGUACUCCCCCACGACUCCCCCGUAGCCCCCGAAGCUGCUCCCCCUCUUCUUCCCCAGCGCCGAACCCUCGCUCUCGCACUUCGUUUUGGGGUCCCCUUGGGUGGAUUCCCUCUCGAAGCGGAACACGAACACGGCGCGCGGCGGAACGGCGCCGCCCGGCGGGGGGAGAUGCGGCGCGGUCGCGUCGCGCCAGGCCUGACGAGCGCCCCGGGGCGGGAAGAGCCAGCUGUGGAGGUCCCAAGAGAUCUGGAUGGGAGAGGAGUCGACGUCGACGGUGUCGCUGCCGCGGAACUUCCAGCGGAGGCGGCGGACGUGGAGGACGCGGGAGCCGUCGACGGCGAUCGACAUCGCCAUGUCCUCCCCCUUGCCCUUGCCCUUGCCCUUCCUCUCCUUCUCCUUCUCCUUCUCCUUCUCCUUCUCCUUCUCCUUCUCCUUCGACGUGAGGGUGAUGGUGAUCUCCCUCUCCUUGCCCCCGAACAGCGCCGAGGUCGCGUACGACCGCACCCCGCUACGCGCGUCCCGCCGCAUCGCCACGUGCUCCCGCCGCGAGAUCAGGAGCGCCUCCCCGCGCGGGGCCGAUCGCGCCGCCGCCCUCUUGUAGGCCUCGCCGCGGAGGUCGCCGGCGACGAGGGCGGCCUCGCCGUCCACGGCGACGGCGACGAAGUACCCUCCGGCAGGCUCCGGGGCCCCGCCCGGGGGGAACCGCGCGCGCGUGAGGUCCCACGCGAGCUCCACCGUCUGCGGGCCGCCGCCGCCGCGGCGAUCGCCGAGGUGGAAGCGCUUUGAGCCGCGGCGCUUCCAGAAGAGCCAGGGGCGGAUCCGGAAGGCGAGGGGCUCCUCCUCGUCGUCGCCGUCGCCAUCGUCGCGGAGGCGGAGCUCGGCGAGCAGGCAGAGGCCGAGGGCGGUGCGGGACCAGGAGAGGGAGACCAAGCCGAGGCGCGUCUCGUAGACGGAGGUGGAUCAGCUCCGGCAUCGUCUUCUCGCUCCUCCUGGCUUCCUAAUUCUAUACAGAGUUCGAUCGACAAAGCUAGGGUUUCGCAAAUCCCAAGCACAGGUUAGAGAGAGAGAGAGAGAGAGAGAGAGAGAGAGAGAUGUUUUUUUUUCCGAAGGAAAAUUCGAAGCAUAGAGAGAGAAAGAGAGAGGGGGUGGGAAUAAAUACGGAUGUUGGAAGGAGCGUGUGGUGUUCACCACGCACCGGGUGGUGACGGUAAACAAGGCAAGACCGUAGAACGAGCUGGGCCCCACUGAUCUCCCAGUGGACCCGCCAAAGUAUUUCCUAGACCCGGUUCACCACGUCAGCUAAUAAGUAGUACAUUAUAAAGUUGGUGUUGUUUUAAGUUAGAGCAAUAUCUUCAGUCAGACCCAAAAGAUAUAAAUCUUACACUCUAUAAUCUAAGAUUUAUUAUUGUAUUUAUAUUUUACCAUUUUAUUUAUACUAUUUAAGCUUUGUUUGGGAUUGCAUAAAAAUUAUGUUACGUACGGUGAGAAAGUAUAAUUAGAAAAUACUAUGUUUGUUUUUGUAUAUAAUAUUGCAUUCCGUAUAUUGCGAUGAGUCGGCUACGAUAUAUUUUCUACAGUCCCACUGGAGAAUAUAGAAAUAUAUCUCUAUAUACUUUUACUCAAACUCUAUUUUAUCUAAAUAGCGUCAAAUAGAUCUGAAUACCAAACUAAGUCUUAAAAUCUUAAAAGAUUUCUAAAUUUUAGAACGUGGGGCCUAAAAUGUAGACUUUCUUUUUUCUGAAAAUAUAUAGUUAUCAUUUUUUUUAGAGUUAGGUCUAGUUUGAAAUUGCGGUAUUCAGAUCUAUUUGACGCUAUUUAGAUAAAAUAGAGUUUGAGUAAAAUAGAUCUGAAUACCAAACUAAGUCUUAAAAUCUUAAAAGAUUUCUAAAUUUUAGAACGUGGGGCCUAAAAUGUAGACUUUCUUUUUUCUGAAAAUAUAUAGUUAUCAUUUUUUUUAGAGUUAGGUCUAGUUUGAAAUUGCGGUAUUCAAAACAUUCACUUUUAUACUUUACAAGGCUCGACAAAUUAAAAAAUCUACAAUUUUUCUCCUUAGUUACAUUUUGGUGGUAGAGAGAAAAAAUAUGAAAAAUGCUUUCGAAUUGUUUGAGUAUUUUAGACACUAUUAUUAGUAAAAAUUAAAAAUAUAAGUGCAGCCAAAUAUACCAUAAGUAUAAAUCAUCAUUACAUGCAAUUUAUAACUUAACAAUAAUCUACUUUUGAGAGGCAUAUGUUACAAAAUAUAAUGUCAAAUGAUGAAAUAUUUUUUUCAAAGUCAAAAGUGUUAGUGAAUUUAGCGGCAACCGUCAUUGUAAUUUAUAUUAUUGGAAAAUAUAAAUUAUUGGAAAAGAAAAGAUCGUAAAUACUCUUGAAUUU